RNAcentral lists this long non-coding RNA (217 nucleotides) under Vigna radiata. RNAcentral's name for it is "long non-coding RNA (VRAD_LNC001478)". The record is from RNAcentral. Lineage: Eukaryota; Viridiplantae; Streptophyta; Magnoliopsida; Fabales; Fabaceae.
GACAAUUAAACCCAAUUUCGUGGUUUAUUUAAGUGUAAUAAACUAAAUAUAGUUCAAGAAAUAAUGACUCAUCAAAAUAGACCACACUUAGUCUUUUGCAUUCCUGGGCAAAACCAAGACGAAAACCAGGGAACUACUCAAACAUCAGGAAGGUGACAGACUCAACAUACAGACAACUAAGACUCAUAAGGACAGGAACAAAAUUGCAUAAUUCUCA